GAUCUUUAUUUUUAUAAUUUAUAAAUUAAAAAGAAUUUUAUAAUUUAUUUUUUGUUAAGAAUUUUAUUGGGGUGAUAUUAAAAUUUAAAUAACUUUUAAAAUUAAUUAACAUAAAUAUAUGAAUAAUUGAUCCAAUUUUAUUGAUUAAAAAUUUAAGUUACCUUAGGGAUAACAGCGUAAUUUUUUUUUAGAGUUCAUAUCGACAAAAAAGAUUGC
This 216-nucleotide ribosomal RNA is filed under the name Culex pleuristriatus. RNAcentral's name for it is "partial 16S ribosomal RNA". Lineage: Eukaryota; Metazoa; Arthropoda; Insecta; Diptera; Culicidae. The record is from RNAcentral.